Molecule: ribosomal RNA, 850 nt
Filed under: Bacillus velezensis
Lineage: Bacteria; Bacillati; Bacillota; Bacilli; Caryophanales; Bacillaceae
Description: bacterial SSU rRNA
Rfam family: Bacterial small subunit ribosomal RNA
Source: RNAcentral
AGUGUGUUUUCCUCUGCUCAGGACGAACGCUGGCGGCGUGCCUAAUACAUGCAAGUCGAGCGGACAGAUGGGAGCUUGCUCCCUGAUGUUAGCGGCGGACGGGUGAGUAACACGUGGGUAACCUGCCUGUAAGACUGGGAUAACUCCGGGAAACCGGGGCUAAUACCGGAUGGUUGUUUGAACCGCAUGGUUCAGACAUAAAAGGUGGCUUCGGCUACCACUUACAGAUGGACCCGCGGCGCAUUAGCUAGUUGGUGAGGUAACGGCUCACCAAGGCGACGAUGCGUAGCCGACCUGAGAGGGUGAUCGGCCACACUGGGACUGAGACACGGCCCAGACUCCUACGGGAGGCAGCAGUAGGGAAUCUUCCGCAAUGGACGAAAGUCUGACGGAGCAACGCCGCGUGAGUGAUGAAGGUUUUCGGAUCGUAAAGCUCUGUUGUUAGGGAAGAACAAGUGCCGUUCAAAUAGGGCGGCACCUUGACGGUACCUAACCAGAAAGCCACGGCUAACUACGUGCCAGCAGCCGCGGUAAUACGUAGGUGGCAAGCGUUGUCCGGAAUUAUUGGGCGUAAAGGGCUCGCAGGCGGUUUCUUAAGUCUGAUGUGAAAGCCCCCGGCUCAACCGGGGAGGGUCAUUGGAAACUGGGGAACUUGAGUGCAGAAGAGGAGAGUGGAAUUCCACGUGUAGCGGUGAAAUGCGUAGAGAUGUGGAGGAACACCAGUGGCGAAGGCGACUCUCUGGUCUGUAACUGACGCUGAGGAGCGAAAGCGUGGGGAGCGAACAGGAUUAGAUACCCUGGUAGUCCACGCCGUAAACGAUGAGUGCUAAGUGUUAGGGGGUUUCCGCCC